AUUGAACGCUGGCGGCAUGCCUUACACAUGCAAGUCGAACGGUAACAGGUCUUCGGAUGCUGACGAGUGGCGAACGGGUGAGUAAUACAUCGGAACGUGCCUAGUAGUGGGGGAUAACUACUCGAAAGAGUGGCUAAUACCGCAUGAGAUCUACGGAUGAAAGCAGGGGAUCGCAAGACCUUGUGCUACUAGAGCGGCCGAUGGCAGAUUAGGUAGUUGGUGGGAUAAAAGCUUACCAAGCCGACGAUCUGUAGCUGGUCUGAGAGGACGAUCAGCCGAACUGGGACUGAGAAACGGCCCAGACUCCUACGGGGGGCGGCAGUGGGGAAUUUUGGACAAUGGGCGCAAGCCUGAUUCAGCAAUGCCGCGAGCAGGAUGAAGGCUUGCGGGUUGUAAACUGCUUUUGUACGGAACGAAAAGCCCUGGGUUAAUACCCUGGGGUCAUGACGGUACCGUAAGAAUAAGCACCGGCUAACUACGUGCCAGCAGCCGCCGUAA
This 498-nucleotide ribosomal RNA is filed under the name uncultured bacterium. RNAcentral describes it as "partial 16S ribosomal RNA". It matches the Rfam family "Bacterial small subunit ribosomal RNA", at positions 30 to 523 of the family's 1533-position model. The record is from RNAcentral.